AUGGGGGGCUAUGGGGAUAUGGGUAAUAUGGGGUGAAGUAUAGGGCUAUGAGAGGCUAUGAGUAUAUGGGGUAUAUGGGGGCUAUGGGGGGCUAUAAGGACAUGGGGGGCUAUGGGGGGGAUAUGGGGCUAUGAGGUGCUAUGGGGACAUGGGUGAUAUGGAGUAUAUGGGGGGCUAUGGGGACAUGGGUGAUACGGGGGUAUAUGGGGGGCCAUGGGGGGCUAUGGAGCCAUGGGGGGCUAUGAGGACAUGGGGUAUAUGGGGGGCUAUGUGGGUCUAUGGAGAUAUGGGGAGCUAUGGGGUCUAUGGGGCCAUCGCUGCUAUAUGUGUCUAUAUGGGUCUAUAUGUGUCUAUAUGGGUCUAUAUGUGUCUAUAUGGGUCUGUCUAUAUGUGUCUAUAUGUGUCUAUAUGUGUGUGUUGCAGUUCCCCGCCCCGCCGCCGGGUGUCGCUGUUCGUACCGUGAUGCUCCACGUGCAGUUGCUGUGGGGCGGGUAAUGGCGCGGGAACCCCUCGCUGCCGAUAUAACCCGAGUCCCCGCCGUGCUCCCCCCCACACAGAAACACCGGCCUGGAGGCGUUGGGGGGGGCGGCAGCGGCGGGGCGGAGCGCGGGAAACAAGAGGAGGAGGAGCGCGGGAAACGGAGCGGGGCGCGCCAUGGCGGGAAACCGAGUGGCGCCGGCGGGAGAGCGGGAAAAGGAGGCGGGGUUUUAAGCCACGCCCAUAAUGGCUGCUCAGCCAAUCAGGGGCGAGACACGAGGAAACAGGGAAGGAAAGGGGCGGGGCGAGCAGAGGGACACGCCCACCUGGGGGUGAAACGGACCAAUGAGCGGCGAGCCACGAGGAGGGGGCGGGGCUUAAAGGUGGGCGCCGGCCAAUGGAGAGGAGCCAGCUGCCAUGCUGGACGAAGGGGCGGGGCUUAGGCGCAGCCCGUCCCUCUCGCUUAUACCGGCCAACCAGGAGUGGGGAUUAACGAGGGGGCGGGGCUAGAGGGGGGCGCUGGCCAAUGAGUGAAGCGCCAGCUGCCAGGCUGGACGGGGAGGCGGAGCUUACAAUAGCCCCGCCUCCCCCUCGAUGCCAGCCAAUCACGAAGCGGAAAGCGGGUUGGGGGUGGGUCCAAGCGAUGAGCGCCAACCAAUGAGCGCAGAGGAGGGCGGGGCUUCAGCUGCCAGGCUGGACUGCCGUGAAGGGGGCGGGGCUUAUUUGUAUAUCCCGCCCCUUCAGCUCAAACCGACCAAUCCGGAGCGGGGGGCGGGGCCAGCGUGUGUGCGCCAACCAAUGGGACGCCGGGAUGGGGGUGAGGGGGCGAA
This is a long non-coding RNA of Coturnix japonica (Japanese quail), 1307 nucleotides long. The record is from Ensembl. Lineage: Eukaryota; Metazoa; Chordata; Aves; Galliformes; Phasianidae.